UAAGGCUGGUUCUUGAAGAUGACGAGCGGCGGACGGGUGAGUAAUGCCUGGGAAUUUGCCCAUUUGUGGGGGAUAACAGUUGGAAACGACUGCUAAUACCGCAUACGCCCUACGGGGGAAAGCAGGGGAACUUCGGUCCUUGCGCUGAUGGAUAAGCCCAGGUGGGAUUAGCUAGUAGGUGGGGUAAUGGCUCACCUAGGCAACGAUCCCUAGCUGGUCUGAGAGGAUGAUCAGCCACACUGGGACUGAGACACGGCCCAGACUCCUACGGGAGGCAGCAGUGGGGAAUAUUGCACAAUGGGGGAAACCCUGAUGCAGCCAUGCCGCGUGUGUGAAGAAGGCCUUCGGGUUGUAAAGCACUUUCAGCGAGGAGGAAAGGGUGUAAGUUAAUACCUUACAUCUGUGACGUUACUCGCAGAAGAAGCACCGGCUAACUCCGUGCCAGCAGCCGCGGUAAUACGGAGGGUGCGAGCGUUAAUCGGAAUUACUGGGCGUAAAGCGUGCGCAGGCGGUUUGUUAAGCGAGAUGUGAAAGCCCCGGGCUCAACCUGGGAACCGCAUUUCGAACUGGCAAACUAGAGUCUUGUAGAGGGGGGUAGAAUUCCAGGUGUAGCGGUGAAAUGCGUAGAGAUCUGGAGGAAUACCGGUGGCGAAGGCGGCCCCCUGGACAAAGACUGACGCUCAGGCACGAAAGCGUGGGG
RNAcentral lists this ribosomal RNA (700 nucleotides) under Shewanella sp. RNAcentral's name for it is "bacterial SSU rRNA". It matches the Rfam family "Bacterial small subunit ribosomal RNA", at positions 70 to 766 of the family's 1533-position model. Lineage: Bacteria; Pseudomonadati; Pseudomonadota; Gammaproteobacteria; Alteromonadales; Shewanellaceae. The record is from RNAcentral.